AUUGAACGCUGGCGGCAGGCCUAACACAUGCAAGUCGAACGAGUGGCGGACGGGUGAGUAAUGUCUGGGAAACUGCCUGAUGGAGGGGGAUAACUAAUGGAAAAGGUAGCUAAUACCGCAUACUAUCGGAUGUGCCCCGAUGGGAUUAGCUCGUAGGUGGGGUAACGGCUCACCUAGGCGACGCUCCCUAGCUGGGCUGAGAGGAUGACCAGCCACACGGGAACGGAUACACGGGCCAUACUCCGACGGGAGGCAGCAGUGGGGAAUAUUGCACAAUGGGUGCAAGCCUGAUGCAGCCAUGCCGCGUGUAUUAAGAAGGCCUUCGGGUUGUAAAGUACUGUCAGCGGGGAGGCGUUACCCGCAGAAGAAGCACCGGCUAACUCCGUGCCAGCAGCCGCGGUAAUUC
This 406-nucleotide ribosomal RNA is filed under the name uncultured bacterium. RNAcentral's name for it is "partial 16S ribosomal RNA". It matches the Rfam family "Bacterial small subunit ribosomal RNA", at positions 30 to 526 of the family's 1533-position model. The record is from RNAcentral.